UCGUAACAAGGUUUCCGUAGGUGAACCUGCGGAAGGAUCAUUGUCGAAACCUUGUGGCAGAAUGACUUGUUAACUUGUACCAAUUCAAGAUUCUAGUGUCGGGGCCAUCUUUCGGGUCUGGCCACGACGAACAAAAACACCGGCGCAGCAGCGCCAAGGAAUUUCGUAAAUGAGAAUGCUACCUCGCAGAGCUCAUCUCCACUGCUUGUGAGGUUGGCGUCUUUUUUAUAAUAAUGACUCUCGGCAAUGGAUAUCUCGGCUCUUGCAUCGAUGAAGAACGUAGCGAAAUGCGAUACUUGGUGUGAAUUGCAGAAUCCCGCGAACCAUCGAAACUUUGAACGCAAGUUGCGCCUUAAGCCAUUAGGUUGAGGGCACGUUUGCUUGGGUGUCAUGCAUAAUGUCUUCCCUCCCGUGUUUUGGGUUGGGAGUGGAUCGUGGCCUCCUGGGCCCAUCCUUGGGUGUGGUUGGCCGAAAAUAUUGUCUGUGAUUUUGUUGAUGUCUUGGCGUGCGGUGGAUGUACAGAGUGUGCAUAAUGGCUUGCCCUGCUCGACUUCGUUGUGGCGUUGAGAUCCUUUGAAGCUGUCGGUGUUGGCUCUUUGAUUGCGACCCCAAGUCAGGCGAGACUACCCGCUGAGUUU
This 638-nucleotide ribosomal RNA is filed under the name Cuscuta chinensis var. chinensis. Its description in RNAcentral is "eukaryotic LSU rRNA". The stretch from base 236 to 391 matches the Rfam family "5.8S ribosomal RNA". Lineage: Eukaryota; Viridiplantae; Streptophyta; Magnoliopsida; Solanales; Convolvulaceae. The record is from RNAcentral.